This 958-nucleotide long non-coding RNA is filed under the name Homo sapiens (human). Its description in RNAcentral is "novel transcript". The record is from RNAcentral. Lineage: Eukaryota; Metazoa; Chordata; Mammalia; Primates; Hominidae.
CGAUGGGGUCAUGGCGCCCCGAACCCUCCUCCUGCUGCUCUCGGGGACCCUGGCCCUGGCCGAGACCUGGGCGGACCCCCCCCAAGACACACGUGACCCACCCCCCUCUCUGAACAUGAGGCAUAACGAGGUCCUGGGUUCUGGGCUUCUACCCUGCGGAGAUCACAUUGACCUGGCAGCGGGAUGGGGAGGACCAGACCCAGGACAUGGAGCUCGUGGAGACCAGGCCCACAGGGGAUGGAACCUUCCAGAAGUGGGCGGUUGUGGUAGUGCCUUCUGGAGAGGAACAGAGAUACACAUGCCAUGUGCAGCACAAGGGGCUGCCCAAGCCCCUCAUCCUGAGAUGGGUCACACAUUUCUGGAAACUUCUCAAGGUUCCAAGACUAGGAGGUUCCUCUAGGACCUCAUGGCCCUGCUACCUUCCUGGCCUCUCACAGGACGUUUUCUUCCCGCAGAUAGAAAAGGAGGGAGCUACUCUCAGGCUGCAAGCAGCCAAAGUGCCCAGGGCUCUGAUGUGUCUCUCACGGCUUGUAAAGUGUGAGACAGCUGCCUUGUGUGGGACUGAGAGGCAAGAUUUGUUCAUGCCUUCCCUUUGUGACUUCAAGAACCCUGACUUCUCUUUCUGCAAAGGCAUCUGAAUGUGUCUGUGUCCCUAUAGGCAUAAUGUGAGGUGGUGGGGAGACCAGCCCACACCCGUGUCCACCAUGACCCUGUUCCCCACACUGACCUACAUUCCUUCCCCGAUCACCUUUCCUGUUCCAGAGAAGUGGUGCUGGGAUGUCUCCAUCUCUGUCUCAACUUCAUGGUGCACUGAGCUGUAACUUCUUACUUCCCUAUUAAAAUUAGAAUCUGAGUAUAAAUUUACUUUUUUCAAAUUAUUUCCAUGACGGGUUGAUGGGUUAAUUAAAGGAGAAGAUUCCUAAAAUUUGAGAGACAAAAUAAAUGGAAGACAUGAGAA